Branchiostoma floridae (Florida lancelet) is the source of this 1724-nucleotide long non-coding RNA. RefSeq lists it as uncharacterized. NCBI's taxonomy places the organism in Eukaryota, Metazoa, Chordata, Leptocardii, Amphioxiformes, Branchiostomatidae. The transcript has 2 exons. The record is from RefSeq and is a predicted model, not a curated record.
UGUAUGUAAAUAGAACAAUUCUUCCAUCAUUGACUCUUGAAAACAUCCAUGAUCAAGAUGUACAGAAUGGACAUAAAAAAUUUUUUGAAAUACGUGUUUUACAUGAUCUCAAGAGUCACUGAUUGAAGAAUUAUUCUAUUACUCAUGCGUGACUGAUGUACCUCACUCACACUCACUCACUCUCCGGUUUAACGUCUGUUGUUCCCCAUCCCUUGGGGGUUAGACGUGCUUGCAUGUAGAUGAGGGGGCUUGAUGGCAGCUCGCCAGCGUCCUCUGUCACUUGGGUUGACAUUGUGAAGGUUGAGGAAGUGUACCUCUUCAACCAAAGUAUUGUCUGAUAUAAGACCGAUUUAAAUCUUCUACAGCAUGAAGAAGUCAUUUGGAAAAAUAGACUAGUUUACCACUGUAGUUGUACAGCUGUGUUGUAAGGACUGAAAUGUUAACUAGGACAGAAGAGCAACAUGUACCCUAACUGUAACUUCGCAUUUGUUGUAGUUUGUGAUUUAUGGUUUUUUAUUACUUAUACAGGCUAACUUUCAGUUAUGAUAUGCAGGAAAUGAUCCGUGUUUUUGGACAUGUUAUGUCCCAGAUAGUAAGUUUGUUAGCAAAUGUGUACGUCUGCAAGUAGACUUUUGAUGUCAGAGCUUAUAUUUGUCUCUCACUUUUUCUGUGAAGGAGUGGUGUUUGUGGGUUUUAAAAACCUUCAGAAACAGAUGUAAUGCAUACUUGUAAUAGCAUAGUGCCAAUAACUUGGUUUUCUAUUAAUCUACAUCAUUUAUGAUCAUUUUUAUUAGUUAUGGUUAAUUGUUGUUGAUAUGUAUACAAGUCUAGUUCAGAAAAAAGUUGUAGGUAGUAUUAUUGACAGCAGUAUUGAUGAUCAUACUGUAUAGCUUAUAGACAUACAUUUUGUAGAAAUGGUAGACUUAUAUUCUAGAAUUAAGGCCAUAUGUUUUUGGCUACAUGGAUGACAUCUGCAGUUGCAUCAAUUUUCAGCCAUUUCCAAAAUCAAUGAAGAAGUUUCUGACGAUAUUGUAAAACAUACAAAACAGCUAUAAAUUGAGCACAUAUAUUUGCUAACACUAAUGUUAUACAAUGCCAACAUCAAUUCCAAGGUCAAAGAAGAAGACUAAAAAUGAAGACUAUUAUUUAGUAUACCAUAAUCUGUGUUGUCAGUCACUUUCCUGACCACAUAGAUUUUGUACUGAAUAGAACUAGGGGGGGGGGGUCUUUUUUUUACAUGCAUGCUCGUACCAGUUUUGAGGUUCCCAAGGUAUAUUAUCGAUAUGCAGGCUUUUCAUUGACGUCAUACUAAUUAUAAUUUGAACCCUCGGACGACCAUGUUGGCGGGUAAUUGAAUUAAGCAGUAGCAUCUUUGUGUGUUUUUUUACAGACAUGCGCUGUAAUCCAACAUGGCGCAGAUGACGUCAAAUUAAAAGCCUGUAUAAUCAAACCAACAUGGCCUUAUCGUACUAAAUGUCUUGUACUCCUAGUUGUAGAGCCUUCUGUUAUGCAGUCGGUAACGUUAUGGGAAGGCUUUUUUUUUUUUAGUUUAACUUGCUAGUAUGUUCCUUCAAGUUAUUCAUGUUGUAAACUAGCAUGUAGACAAGUUUGUUAUCAAUCAUGCAAAUUAGCUUGUGAUUUUGUUCAUGUAUGUCAAUGUUUUCCUAAAGCUACAUGACUGUGAAGAUUCUUUCAUUAAGAAAAUGUUAAACUACUAGUACUCU